This 10572-nucleotide long non-coding RNA is filed under the name Malus domestica (apple). Its description in RNAcentral is "long non-coding RNA (MDOM_LNC009978)". The record is from RNAcentral. Lineage: Eukaryota; Viridiplantae; Streptophyta; Magnoliopsida; Rosales; Rosaceae.
UUUUCUCAAGACAGUUUCGUAGAAACUGGGUGAGUCGGCGCCUCGGCCGAUCUCGGAGGGGAUGACGUUGGGAAUGGUGGCGAAGACUACGUUGUCGGGUUUCGGAUCCGACCCUAUGAAUCCAAGCCACUCCUCGGUGACUAUUAAGGUUACAAGGAGGUUGAUGUUGCCAUCGGCGGCGUUGAGGGAAGCGAUGGAGUUGCAGAGGCACAUCAUUGGGUUGAUGUGGCCGCGGCUGGGUAUCGGCAGCGCGACCACAUGGUGUGUAAUGGUUUGAGAGGAAUUUAGGAAGUCCAUCGGAUGGGAAGGUGGAGACUGGAGAGUCCGAAGCUGCGAAGCAGAAGAUAAAAAGAGGAGCGCAGGAAGAAGACUACUAACACAAAGCAUUGUUUUCUAACCUGACAUAUAUUUUAAUGCAAAUCUUUCUCAGCACAAUCACAAAGCAUCAAACUGUUUCGAACUUUUUAUUUUAUUCCAACAAAAAAAUAACCUUUUUUUUUAUCAAAUUAUUAUUAUGGAAAAGAUAUUGAGGUAGAAUAUAUCAAACAUUACAAGCUUUAAAACAUCUUCAAGAAAAGUUUUAAAUUUAUGUUAAACUAAUAAGAGAACAUUGUAGUCACUCGGUACUACGGUCUGGUGGUAUUUCUCUUCACUUGGAAGUGAGAGGUCUUAGGUUUGAAUCUCGUGGAUGACGACUUCAAUAUCAAAUUAGAUUACCCAUUAUGUGGCUCAGCCGAACUCAUCUUCCUCUUAGUAUAAAAAUAUCAAUGUACUCAAACAAAAAAUAAGGGAACAUUGUAAAAAACUAUUUUAACUACUAAAUUUAACUUUUUAUGUCCAACAACACUCUUUAUUCUAACAAAUUUCAAAUAUUUUAUUAUUAAUAAUUCAAACUCAACCGCUCAUACGAACACUGACGGAGCCAAGUUAAGGGUUGCCCUGGGUUGUAGCCUAGGUAGCUUUCGGUGAGAAAUAAAAUUUUACAUUUAAUUUUAAUUGAUUUUCGAAUGUAGCCCACUAAAUAUUUAGUCACUAAUCCGAAUUCUCUAGGUUUAACUAUAUAAAAUUAUAUAAUACAGUUUACAAAUCAUCUUUUUUUCUUACAUCAUUUUUCUCAUCGUUUCUUAUACAUGUACAAGUUUGGAUUUGUUUAAUUACAAAUUUUUUUGGCUCACCUUGUGAUUUUUUUUAAGCUAGUUGAUACUAGGAAAAAUACAGUAUCAAGUUUCUUUAUUUAUAUACAUGUACAAGUUUGGAUUUGUUUAAUUACAAAAUUUUUGGCUCACCUUGUGAUUUUUUUUAAGCUAGCUGAUACUCUGAAAAAUACAGUAUCAAGUUUCUUUAUUUAUAAAGAUUUAAAUUUUUAAGCUAGCCCAUCCGGUAAAAAAUUCCUAGCUCCGCCAUUGCAUACGAAGAUAAAAAGGUGGGGUACAACUUAAGGAAAUUAGCCACGCUUUGGUUAAUGUCAAUCCUCCAUGGGAUAAAGAGGAAAUAAGAAUGAAAAAGCGUAGGAUAAUGGUUCAGAGGUAGAAUCGCAAUUGAAUUGCAAUUCGCUUUAUGGUUGCAUGGAUGCAUCUGGACAACAAGGUUGGAAAAUGGAGUCUUUUGAUUAGAAAGCAUCACUUUGGCAUCAUCGCGUGGUCUCUCAUUUGGGAUUAUUUGAUGUGGAAAUAUAUGGCUUUGUCAGGAGUCUCAGGACCCACCCCUAUAAUAUAAGAGGGUUUACAAUGUAGAAAGCCCCAUUCCACUCAAUAAAGAAUUUAGAUGUUCUACGUGAAAUCAUUCUCAUAACUCUGAGAAAAAUACUAAUAUCCUAAUCCCUCCUUGAGCACUUCAGUUUGGUUGAACAUCACUAGGUUGACAACUAACACCGUACCUUUGAACUAAUCAUGGGAGUACCUUCAACUCGGUUGAACAACACUAUUUUUGGUUUAGUUGGUUAUCUAUGUCUUAGCAGGUGAAGGGUCCUUGAUUCUUUUGCCGAAAGACGUCACUUCAUUAGCUUUCCUAGAGAAGUGAGGUGUUCUAGCUAUGAUCGGUUACUCGCAAAUACAUUUCAGAGUUCGGCAUUCAGAUAACUGAACAACUUUCACAAUAAAGAUACUAAUUUCAUUUGAGUAUCUUUGCUCCUACAACCUAAUACUGAUUUGGCGCACUUUGCAGUGAAUGAAGUAACAUUGUCUUCAGGUUCUAUAACCCUAGGCCAAGAGUAUUCCUUUCUCAAACAAAGUCCUUAAAUGCAAAAGUCAGCAGCGCGUUCAACACCACCACCAUAUCCACUCACUAGCCCGAUCAACCUCGGCCACGAGUUGGCACGCCGACAUUCACAAGAAAGAUGUAGUUAGCUUAAUAGUUGCUCGCCAUGCACACCGCAUAGGUUGUAAUUUUUAGGGUCAACCAUUUGGCACGCCUGGUUAGAUUUACUGCUAAAACUACGAAGUUCAUAUGAUAUAUCGAGAUUUCCAUUCAGCUCAAUUAAACCGAUUGGAUGAGAUCCAAGAUCAACUUGAGAAAUGCAUUCAAAAGUGUGAGGAGAAUAAAAAAAGCAUAGUAAAUGCAAAAAAUUCUUGAUGCCCAUGAAGAAAUGUGAAAAUCCUUCACUCAUACGUUGAAAAUGAAAGCUCCAAUUAUCCGAAGAAUAAUGGGUAAAAGAGGACAGAGCCUACUUAGGGCUGGUUUGGUAUUGCUGUGCUUUGAAAAAAAGCUGCUGUGAGAAUAAGCGGCUGUGCUGUGAGAAUAAGCGGCUGUGAAAUAAAUCAGCAGAGUGUUUGGUAAACUUUUUUGUAAAAGUGCUUUUGGAAAAAAAAAACAGUCUGAUAGUGGAUCUUUUCAUUAAAGGAGCACUGUAGUUCUAUGUGCUUUGAAAAAAAACCAGUUUUCCAAAGCUACAAAUUGCAGCUUCAGCUUUUUCCUUUGAUUUCAGCUUAUUCUCACAGCAGCUUCCAAAAUAAGCCAUUUUUUUUAAGUUUACCAAACACCAAAAACACUCCCAGCUUUUUUUCAUAGGAGCUUUUUUUAAAAUCACCUCAACCCCAAACUGGGGCUUAGUAUGUGGCUAAAUGACAAAGAUUUUCCUUGCUUUCCUGUAUACAAAUAAAUUCCAUAUGAAGUGUGGUUGGGAUCAAAAGACUGAGAGGGGGAAUUUUUCCUUCGACCCCCCAUUCAAGCCUCUGCCAGAGAGGAUUAUCAAUAAAGUUGGGCCACUUGUUCCUUCAUCUGAAGAGGAAAAUAUGGUUGGCCUGGAAGAAAAUAUUCAAGUUUCUAAACUAAAUAAAAAAAUUAAGUAAGAAGAUGAUUUGUCAGGAGAGUACUGCAAUGACGAUUUAGGCCAAAACACAGCCUUAGACGCAAAACCCAUGUAAAUCGAAAUGGUUAUUGGAGAUAAAGUUGAUAUGGAGCAACCCCUUUUGGAUGAAUUGUUCGAAUUAAACGCCAAAACUGGCAGCAAAAACCGCUCCAAGAGGAGUAAAUUGCUGAGUAGGAAUGAACGAGCCCGUUGUCAAAAUUUACAACACCAAUGGUUAACGCCAAAUUCUUAUUAGAUUGAUCUUGUUAAAAAAAAAAAAAAACUUAUUAGAUUGAUUUAUGUUAGCCGGUUGGCCCAUUUCCCUUUAUUAAAACACCUUGUUUUGUAGUUUUUGAUAAGUGUGAAUUUACCUCUUUCAAUAAAAAAAUAUAAGCAAAAAAAUUUAACAUAUCGGAUGGAGUGACAAAUCUCACGAUAUGUCAAAUUGACACAUAAACCAUUAAAUAUAAUUUGAUGUUAUUUGAUAUUUUUUUUGAAAAUGCUCUUAGGUGUAGGCAAAUGACUAGUCAAAUCCAUUUCGAUGAGCUACAUAAGCAAAAACUUUUUUCAAGAAAAAAACUGAGUGGGAAAAAAUCUUAGUGGUAGGUAAAUGACUAGUCAAAUCCAUUUUGAUGAACUACGAGGCAAAAACUUGCUUCAACAGUGUAGACAAAUUUUGCUUACUCCCUCAAAAUACGUAAUAUUGCCUUACAUUCUUUUUUACAAUAAUAUACUCUUUGUGGCCCUUAAGUUAGGUUGUGUCAUUAUGUCUGUAUUGAUUUUGGUGUAGGAUUGAAGAAUAAGGUUUGGUUUUUAUAAAAAUAUUUUUCUUAUUCUCUGUGUUUUUACUUUCUUGUUUUUUCGGAUUUUAAAACAUAAUUUUUUGACUUUUUUUUAACAGAUGCUUGCAUGAAGCUUUAAUUUUCCAAGUUUAACUAUGCAGCUGUUUGGCCAAGUUCAAUUUGAACUCUACUCCUUAUGGCUAAAGCUGAUAAAAAAAAAAAUGCAAUACUUGGAUAAGACUUGCCUUUGCACCACUUAUUACCUGGGAAGUUCAACUCCCAUUUUCUUGAGUUUCUUUAUUUUUCUUUUCUUCAUGUGUCUCUCAUUUGAAAUCUUCUCGUUGCAAUUGCUAUCUAAGUACUAAAUACCAAUAUUUUGGAUGUUAGAAAAAUUAGUUCUACAAAAUAAGGUGGGCAAAAACCCUAUAAGUAUAAUAGUGUUGUAGGCAUAAUUUAUUGAACAAUUAUGGAGGUCAUAGAAAGAGGGUGCGGCACAAAGAGAGAGAAGAGAGAGAUGUGUAAUUGUCAAGUGUGUGUAAUUCCACCCCCAUUGUGCCUUUAUUUAUAGUAGUAUGGAAGGUUAAAUCUUUACCCUAAUAUGAUUAUAACUUAAAUAGGAUAAUAUAUAAUCUAAGAGAUAUUCUAGAUAUGAUAGGAUUUACACAAUAAUAUUCCUAAUCUAAAAUGACUACAACACUCCCUUUUAAGUGUGUAAAUACUCAACUAAAAUGGCGCAUCAGGUCUUUAGUGAUGAAGUAAGUUCUAUUGAUGAAGUCGACGGCACCAUGAGCGAAUGCAAGUCUCGAAUGAACGGAAUAAUGCACAAAAAGUAAAACUCACAAAACCUCGCUAUGGUAAAACCCAAUAUGGGAUACAAACUCAUAGACUAAGGAGAAAAGUGAGAAGUUGCAUUAAGUUAAAACCAUACGUCUUCUAGACACAAGUAGAAGAGCUCACAAGGGUAUGACCAACCCAGGAUAAGUGUAUUGUCAAAACCUAGUUAGGGAGCAAAAAUCCAGUAGGAAAAAUGCUCAUAAUCGUAAGGAAAAAGAGUACAUUAAGAUCAAGUGAGUAUACUUAUGGAUACUCCCCCUGAGUUUGACAGAACUUCCAAAUAAGAACUAAAAUCAUUGCAUAUGAUUAGUUAGGCAUACAAAUUCCUCAGACAAACUUCUGAAAAGUUGACUUUGGCAUUGACAUUGUGUAGAGGUCAGCAAGGUUGUCUGGGAUAGGGGUGGGCACGGGUCGGGAACAACAUUUUCUAAUAUAGAAACCGAACCUAACCUAGCCUAGUUGAAACGGGCCGAUUUGGGCCGGGUCCACGGGUCCUUUUUUUAUGUUUAUUAUUAAAAUAAAAAAAUUAAAAAAACUAAAAUUUGCACAAAUUCACUACUAGUGCACAUUGCAGUGUGCAAAUUUUGCACAAAUUCACUCCCUAGUCCCUACAUAGAUUCACAUCCAAUACAAACAUUACAAAGUCCAACAUCCAAGUCCAUAGAUUAACAAUACAAUACAUUCAAAAUAACAACAUUAUAUCGUCCAACAUCGUUCGAUACAUUAGAUCCGAAACAUUCAAAAUAACAUUCAAGAGACAUCUAAAGAUCAAACUAACAUACAAAAUAUCCGAGAGUCCAAGACAUCCAAAUUUCAAAGUCCAAAAUCAAAUAAUCCAAAAUAACAUAAACAUGACAUCCGCAAUAAAUUCCAAAUUAACAUCCGAAACCACUUCCAACGUCCAAGUUCCAACAACAUUCCUCGUUGAAUGUAAGGAAAAAUAGAAUAUAAACAUGACAUUUUUAACAUCCAAUAUCAUAUUAUCCUCAUUGAAUCAUUGAAAUUUAAAGUUUAUUCAUUUGAGUUUAAAAUAUUACCGCAAUUUCUUUUCCUUUAUUUGUUCGAGUUGUUUAAGGAGCUUCAAUUUCAAGAACACUUGGUGAGAUGGUUGAACUUGUAAAUAUAGUAUUUGCUUUUCUUCUUUUAUAUUCUACAACAAAUAACAAAAGAAGCACGUUAAUUUUAAAUGAAUAGAAGAAGACAACAAUUAAUAUAAAGUUAUAAACCAAACUAUACAAAACAAAAUAAUUACAUUCUUCACACUCUUGAUAAAAUUCAAGCUCUGCCGAACUUACUUCAUACUCAAUAUUGCUAAUUUAUUCACUUCUUAACCAGUUUUGGAGACAUAUCAAUGACUCAACUGUUUGAGGAAGGAGAGAUGAUCUAAAUGGGUCAAUUACUCUUUUUCCUGCACUAAAUACACUCUCACUAGCAACUGUUGACACUUGAAUUGAUAACACAUCUUUCGCUAUUAAAGAAAGUGUGGGAUAUGUGCUCCUCCCUUUCAACUUCCAUCAUUUCAAAACGUCAAAUGGUGGACCAUGUGGUACUUUCUCUAGAGUGUCAAGGAGAUACCUAUACACCUCAUGUGCAAGUGCAACAUCAUUGGUGGCUUCUAGUUCCUUCUCAUAAUCAUCCAUCAUUUGACUAAAUAUCAUUGGAUUUUCUGUUGGUACACUAAAAGAUUAUUGUUUUACCCUUGAACAACUAAAUCUUCUUUACCCUUUUGUUGUGUUUGUGAACCGAAAGCUUAUUGAGCAUAUUCAUCACACAUCGCCUUCAACAAUGUAUUCACUUCAUUACUUUUCUGUUGAAUCUCUUCUUCAGGAAGUUGUAAUGGCUUUCUACACAAGUGCAUGUAGUGCCUCAAUUUGAACCUUGGGUUUAAGACAAGGACAACUACAAAUAUUUGAUUAAGGGACUUAAUUGAACCAAAAUACUUUCGGUAUUUGGCUCUCAUGCUCAUUGUCAUAUCACGUAGCACCAACUCCACAGUUCCUCCAAUUUGCAUAUAUUAAAGCAAAAAAAGCUUUUCAAUCUCGUUCUCCACAACAAUAAAAUCAUGACCAGUUGUAUUAGAUGUGGGAUACUUACUUGCACUAACUUUCAAAGUUACAAGAUAGAAGACUUUCAAAAAUUCCACAAACACUUUUGCACCAUCCCAUCUUCCUUCUUAGGUGGUCCAACCUUCUCUUUACUCGCCACUUUUUCUCUUUCAUCAUUAAGCACAUUUUCCCUGAAAUAGGUCGAGUAUAUAUUGGCUUCAUCAUCUUCGGACAUCCUUUCAAAUGCCUUUUUAAACUUCAAGCAAGAUUCUAGUAUCAUGUAUGUGUUAUUCCACCUAGUAGGCACAUCCAUAACAACUAGACCCCUACUAUCCAACUUCUCAUUCUCCACACAUUUCUUGAAAUAACUAAACCUUCGGGGACUUGAUUUCACAAACCACACGACAUUUCUAAAAGCAUCCACAUUUGUAUCUAAUCUUUUCAACCCAUCUUUCACUACCAAGUUGAUAAUAUGAGCUAAGCACCUCAUAUGCAUAAACUUGCCAUUCAUAAUGAUUUUACUAUUAGGCCAUUUCUGCAGUUUUCGAACAACAUAAAUUGCCACCUUAUUAGCUGAUGCAUUGUCAACUGAGACAUUGUUCAAUCAACUUCCCUAUUUCUUGCCAUCAUGAUCAAACAAAAGUUUAGAAUCCUUUUGUGCAUAUUUCAUUCAUUAUCCACAAAAUGAGCGGUUAGCACCAUGUAGUUCAAAUUUUGCACACUUGUCUAUGUAUCAGUAGGUGCAACGGGAAGGUAAUUCUGCAACUCAUCGCCUUGCUCGUAUGGGUAUUGGGAGUUCUCAAGAGUUUAUGUGGUUUGAGGAGCCUCCGGAUUUACUCCAAGAUGUUUUAGUUGAGAAAGGAAUGUAAUUUCUUUAUUGUUCAGCUGAGGAUAAGUUACAUUGUUGUAUGGGACACUCUUUUUCCCUUCGAUUAGGUUGAAAUUCCUGGCACGAUUUUUAUCGAGGCUCAGUGUGCACACUAUCUUUAGGUUGUACGUAUUCUUUGCCGUUUAAUGAAUAUUGUACCGUUUCUCAAAAAAAAAAAAAAAAAAAAAAAAAACCCCUAUUGUAACUUAUAAUUGUAAUAUUAUCUACACAUCAAUACAAAAAGUCAUAAUUCACGUUUUGAGACAGCACCCAAGUGAGUACUGAGUACAUCUCCUGGAUUCUUCUAUUUGUCUCAUACAUAUAUAUUUGUUGUGGGCAAUGAAACCAAUUUAAUAUACAACAACAAUUUCCUUAAUGCGUCCUCCUUUAUUCUUUUUAAUUCAAGAUGCAAACUUAUUAUCUCUAACAAUAAAGUAGCAAGUAAAUGUCACUAGACUAUAUUUUCAUCAACAAUGCUUCUCACAUCUUGAUAGGUCAUUUAUAAACGCUUCAAUGUUGAAAUAAGAUGAGCCACCCUUUUGAAUUGCUUGCUGACAAAUGUCCUGAAUCUCUCUUGCUUGCCUCCUAAGGUCUUUCCCUUCCUCACUUUCCAAAUCCAUAAACCUUUUAACAAUCCCUUUAAUUUCCUCUCUAGUCACCAAAAUUUCUUCUUCUCCCAUACCCUUCUUCACCUUCCACCCUAUCUUCCAAUCCUCCACAAUCAUCUUACUAUUGGGCACUUGGUCCCAAUAUAUAGGAAAAGUCAACAUUGGAAGGCCGGCAAAAACAGCUUCCGAGGUCGAAUUCCAACCACAAUGAGACCAAAACCCACCAAUACAAGAGUGACACAAUACUCUCAAUUGGUCACACCAAGGCACCACAAUCCCCAUCUCACCACACUUCUCUUGCAACUCCAAAGCUUCCUCACGUGCCACCCAAAAGAACCGGGCCCCACUCUCUCUCAAGCCACAUGCGAUUUCCUCCAUUUGGGCUUUGGAAGCUGAAUGCAAACUCCCUUGUGACACAUACAAAACCGACCCUUUUGGUUGCUUGUCUAGCCAAUCAAAAUAUUGGGACUCAUUGGGCUUAAGUUGAGCCUCUAUGGGCCUUGAAUGGGCCUCCACCUUGAAAUGAGGUAUUGUGGGCCCAAUAGUGUAAACAGGAAUCGGAAGUUUAUCCCUCAACGCGUCAAUAACUCGGGCUUCAAGAUCGUACACCGAAGGCAGCAGAAGCCAUCGUGCUUUGGACAGGCUUGAAAUUGCUUCUAGUGCUCGAUCCAAGACGUUCAGCCCUUUGGCAUAAAAACACGUGGGAAGGUCUGCCACACGUGUCGAAGGAAGUCCCGGGAUGUAGUCAACGUGCUCUUCUCCUUUUUCUACAACCAAAAAAAAAAAAAAAAAAGACAAAAUGUUGUAUGGAAGUGUUAUCUACCCAUUCAUUUUUAUUUUUCAUACACUACUCUCAAUUUUGGACUAUCAGAUCGAAUGAAUUGAAAACGAUUAAUGACAAAAAGUUAACAAAGAUGUAUGGAAGAUUCAAUGGUGGAGCUAGAAAUUUUUCACAGGGUGGACUAGCUUAAAGAUUUAAAUCAUCAUAAACAAAAAAACUUGAUACUGUAUUUUUUACAAUAUCAGCUAGCUUAAGAAAAUUUUCACAAGGUAAGCCAAGAAUUUUCGUUAUUCAAACAAAUUCAAAUGUGUACAUCUACAAAAAGCGAUGAGAAAAAAAUGUGAGAAAAAGAGAUGGUUUGCAAACUUUAUUAUAUAAUUAAAUCAGUGACUAAAUAUAUGAUGAACUACAUUUAGUAAAAAAUUUAUUUAAAAUUUUAUUUUCUACCGAAAGUUACCUGGGCUACAGCCAGGUAGCCCUUAAUGUGGCUCUACCAAUGAAGAGAUUAAAAUAAGUGUGUGAAUAACAUUAUCCAUAUUAAAUAAUACAUAGAGUUUGCAACAAACGUCAAAUUCAGUCGUGCUUUCAACCCGAUUCGAUUUGAUUUUUUCAAUAGAUUAUCUGAAUUAUUAAGAAAAAAACCAGACCAAACGAUUUGUUUUAGUCGAUUUGUUUUUCACUCCUCUGUCUCCUCUCUUCUUUAUCCCUCAUUUUCCUCAUAUAUGUCAAGCACGCGCGGAUCGUGAAAAUUAAAACCUCAAAACUAAAUAGUUAUGAAACAAACCUAAAAAAAGCAGAUUUAGUUCAGCCACAAUGAUCAAAUUCAGUCAACAAACAAAUGCAUAGGUGUUUGCUAUUAUUACUAAACCGUGGAGGUUAAAAUUGAAAAAACUAACUGAGUUUGUGCUGUUAUUUACGUACCUGCCAAAUUUACCGGGAAAUGUCGAUGUUGGACGAGGAGAUCGAAGAAAUGAAAGACGGAGUAGACUGAAGCGGACAUGGUCCAAAGAGAAGCCACCGGAAUAUUCCUCAGGUUCCCUAUCUCAACCGACCACACCAAGUACGUGUCCGCAAUCAAGGCGGUAACCGGCGGCUCGAGCCGGUCGAGGAGGUCUUCGACCGGGGCUCUAAUUUUUCUCAAGACGGUUUCGUAGAAACCGGGGGAGUCCGCGCCUCGACCGAUCUCGGAGGGGAUGACGUUGGGAAUGGUGGCGAAGACUACGUUGUCGGGUUUCGGAUCCGAUCCGAUGAAUCCCAGCCACUCCUCGGUGACUAUGAAGGUUACAAGGAAGUUGAUGUUGCUAUCGGCAGCGUUGAGGGAAGCGAGGGAGUUGCAGAGGCACAUCAUUGGGUUGAUGUGGCCGCGGC